UACAGAGGUCUCAAGCGUUGUUCGGAUUCAUUGGGCGUAAAGGGUGCGUAGGUGGCGGGGUAAGUCAGGUGUGAAAUCUCGAGGCUCAACCUCGAAACUGCACUUGAUACUGCCUUGCUCGAGUACUGGAGGGGAGAUUGGAAUUUACGGUGUAGCAGUGAAAUGCGUAGAUAUCGUAAGGAAGACCAGUGGCGAAGGCGAAUCCCUGGACAGUUACUGACACUGAGGCACGAAGGCCAGGGGAGCAAACGGG
RNAcentral lists this ribosomal RNA (253 nucleotides) under uncultured bacterium. RNAcentral's name for it is "partial 16S ribosomal RNA". It matches the Rfam family "Bacterial small subunit ribosomal RNA", at positions 524 to 776 of the family's 1533-position model. The record is from RNAcentral.